CUUGUUUAGUGUCUUCUUUUUCUUUAACUCUAAAACCCAGCCUGGCACCGUGACAGAUUAUCGGGAGUCAAAAGCUGAGGCGAGGUUUUGAUGGGAAAACUGGUCCACACAGAGCUCUCCCUAUUCCACAAUUGCAAGGCCAUAGCUGAGCCACUGGGGAAUCAGACUGAGCCGUUCUCUGGGGGAAGUGCCAUCCAGCUUCUAGCCAAAGCAAAGCCAAAUGUCGGUCUUUGAGGAGCCUCACCCACUGGCAAAGUAUCCCUGGCAGCUGGGCCUCCAGGCUCUCAACGCACAGUGGAAAGUGGGUACGUUCGUGACCUGUAGGCUCAUAGAUCUAGAGAGAGAAGAGGUCUUAGAGGUCAUCCAGUCCAAUAAACUCAUUUCACAGCCAAUGAAACUGACCUGCUCGAGGUUACAUCGGCAGCAAGAGGCAGAGGCAAGGUUUGAACACGUGUCCUUUUGGUCCAAAGCCACAGCUCUUUCCACUGUGUCAGGCCUCUACUUCUAUGGAGAAUAUGCUGUGCUCCCUAUGGGAUGGGUUUAAAAAAAAAAAAAGGAAGUAAGACCUUUCUUACACUGCAUCAUUUCCCUAACUGCAGGCAUAACCAGGCCCCUUUUACUGUUUGUCAGUGAUGUCAUAGACAUGCUAUCAUUCCCCCAAAAUGAAUAAUUUAUUUUUUAUGUGUGCAUUUCAUGAUGUACAGAAUACCACAUAAACUAACAUAAAUGUUUCCUAAUCGAAUUAAUAUACUUCCCAAGCAGUUCAGCUGGAGGCAAUCAUUGUACUUCCUGAGAGAGCCAAAUUACUCUGCCCUCAGCCUCCUGCCAAAUCAGCCCCCUAAGACAUACACCCAUCCCUCAGAAGUACACCGGCUGCCAUAGCUCAUUGACUAAUUGACAAGCAGUUACAACUUCAGCAAAAUACCUUAAAACUUGGACCUCACACUCAGUAAGGAAACCAAUUCUGUUUAUCUCCUCAUUUUCAUCUGCCUCAUUGCCAAAGUUGCAUCAUGCUCCAUAAGUAAUGAUUAAGCAGGCUUAUUAUCAUGAUCAAUGGUAAAAAUACAGCAUUC
RNAcentral lists this long non-coding RNA (1073 nucleotides) under Phascolarctos cinereus (koala). RNAcentral describes it as "lncRNA (ENSPCIG00000013660.2)". The record is from RNAcentral. Lineage: Eukaryota; Metazoa; Chordata; Mammalia; Diprotodontia; Phascolarctidae.